RNAcentral lists this ribosomal RNA (253 nucleotides) under uncultured bacterium. Its description in RNAcentral is "partial 16S ribosomal RNA". It matches the Rfam family "Bacterial small subunit ribosomal RNA", at positions 524 to 776 of the family's 1533-position model. The record is from RNAcentral.
UGCGGAGGGUGCAAGCGUUGUCCGGAUUUAUUGGGUUUAAAGGGUGCGUAGGCGGCCUAUUAAGUCAGUUCUGAAAUAUCCCGGCUUAACCGGGAGGGUGGGAUUGAUACUGAUGGGCUUGAGUGGAGUCGAGGUAGGCGGAAUUGACGGUGUAGCGGUGAAAUGCUUAGAUAUCGUCAAGAACACCGAUAGUGUAGACAGCUUACUAGACUUCAACUGACGCUGAGGCACGAAAGUGUGGGGAUCAAACAGG